UAUAUAUAUAUAUAAGGAUGGAAUUUGCGUAAACAAGCAUCAUUGUUAACACAUAUACGUUUGGAGUGCAAUAUAGGGACUGUAGGAAACUGCACUGCGUUGGAGGUGUCCAAGCGGUUUUUGGAUGCAAGUGGUAAAACACAACAUACAAAUAGGAAAGUUAGAUACAGCGUUUGCUGUCAUAGCUUACGAAAAAAACAUCGAUAUAGACUGGGACCAAGCACAGUUGAUAAAACCAUUAAGAGAUACUGCAGGUAUUACAACAAUGGAAGCCUUAGAAAUUGAAAGAAAAAAGACUAUGAUGAAUGUUGUUAAUGACAAUGAACCGUCGUCG
This 334-nucleotide long non-coding RNA is filed under the name Androctonus crassicauda. Lineage: Eukaryota; Metazoa; Arthropoda; Arachnida; Scorpiones; Buthidae. The record is from RNAcentral.